GGAUCGAUGAUGACUCCCUCAAAAAAAAAACCAAACCAACAUUCCUUGGAAAAGCUGAACAAAAUGAGUGAGAACUACACCCGUCGUCGUUCUCAUCGGUAACUGAGGUCC
RNAcentral lists this small nucleolar RNA (111 nucleotides) under Myotis brandtii (Brandt's bat). RNAcentral describes it as "Small nucleolar RNA SNORD116". It matches the Rfam family "Small nucleolar RNA SNORD116". From Rfam's summary of the family: HBII-85 is a member of the C/D class of snoRNAs, which contain the C (UGAUGA) and D (CUGA) box motifs. HBII-85 is encoded in a tandemly repeated array with another C/D snoRNA, HBII-52, in the Prader-Willi syndrome (PWS) region of chromosome 15. The record is from Rfam by way of RNAcentral. Lineage: Eukaryota; Metazoa; Chordata; Mammalia; Chiroptera; Vespertilionidae.